GCACCAUAACGUGGAUCAAUCUCAGUUCCGUUCGGCUGGGGGUGCACCGGCAAGUGCCAGUGGUGAAGCCGGUGUGAGUUCUUGAGAAAUGGGGAGAAGUCGAAUUUGCUAGACAACAUUCUUCUGUUGCUAAAAGGUUGAACUAGAGAUAUAGAUACAUGAUUGUCUUCACUAUUAUUUGAAAAGCAAGAGCACCAACCGUUGAAGAAGAAGAAGAAAAAGAGGAGAAAAGAGAGGCAAAGAAUGGUAUUAAAGAGAGAAGAAAGUGGGAUUUUCAUGGCUGAAGCUGAUCAGGAGGAAAGAGCAGAGGAUGAAAAGAAAAGAUUGCAUGGAGAGAGAGAGAGAGAGAG
Molecule: unclassified non-coding RNA, 350 nt
Filed under: Hevea brasiliensis (rubber tree)
Lineage: Eukaryota; Viridiplantae; Streptophyta; Magnoliopsida; Malpighiales; Euphorbiaceae
Source: RNAcentral